Molecule: unclassified non-coding RNA, 375 nt
Filed under: uncultured fungus
Lineage: Eukaryota; Fungi
Description: sequence contains ITS1
Rfam family: 5.8S ribosomal RNA (bases 1-105)
Source: RNAcentral
GAAAUGCGAUAAGUAGUGUGAAUUGCAGAAUUCAGUGAAUCAUCGAAUCUUUGAACGCACCUUGCGCUUCCUGGUAUUCCGGGGAGCAUGCCCGUUUCAGAAUCAUUACAACAUCAAAAACCAGCUGCUUAACAACAGGUGGACUUUUGAAUUUGGAUGCUUUGUUCUCGCAACAAUCGUCUCAAAAACAUUGUGUGUGCCCCAAUCCUCUCGAUUGGACAACUAAAGUGCAACAGAUUUAUCUCAAACUCUUUGGUGGUUACAAUUGAGCAAGGAUUGACAGCAUGCGCUCAACCUUAACACAGACAUGUUACCUGUAGGUACCGUGUCUGAUAACUUGGUCUGAAAUCGGGUAAGAAAACCCGCUGAACUUAA